This is a long non-coding RNA of Carassius auratus (goldfish), 365 nucleotides long. RefSeq lists it as uncharacterized. Lineage: Eukaryota; Metazoa; Chordata; Actinopteri; Cypriniformes; Cyprinidae. The transcript is spliced from 3 exons. The record is from RefSeq and is a predicted model, not a curated record.
GACAGGCUCAUUUCUUUCCUGAAGGUAAAUAAAAUUCAUUAAUUCAUAAUAAAAGACAAUAAUUGCAGCACUAAUUAUUCCCUAAAAAACAGGACCUUGAUGAGAUGGACAAGGUUCUUCUUCCAAGGAUUGUUGGUGGAGAGAGCCCAGAAAAGGGAAAUCACUUCAUUUUGUGGGUCUUAGAUGGUUUGGUCAGGCAGAUUCGAGUUUAUGACUCCCUUGGUCAAUACAAAUCUAUUUCAAAGGAGGACAUGGCCAUACUGAGCAAUGCAUUCAGACAUACAUGGGACUUGCAGAAUUGGACUGUUGAGUACCCAGCACAGUGGAUGCAGACCGACUGUAACAACUGUGGGGUUUUGGUUUGU